This 347-nucleotide long non-coding RNA is filed under the name Carica papaya (papaya). Its description in RNAcentral is "long non-coding RNA (CPAP_LNC007061)". The record is from RNAcentral. Lineage: Eukaryota; Viridiplantae; Streptophyta; Magnoliopsida; Brassicales; Caricaceae.
AUCGCACACACACAUCCAAGCCCUAUCUUUUGCCUAUUAAAAGGCUUUCUUUCACUUCCUUUCACAGUUCAUUUUCCCUUCCAUUUUCCACUUCCUAAAGAAAUACACUUUGAGAGAAGAAAGAGCAAUUUUAAAGAAAAAAAGAGGCAAGAAGAAGAAGAUCAAGUUGGAAUCAUAAGAGCUUGUUCAAGAAUUUUGAAAAGUCUUUUCUCCCUUCUCUAGAGAUUUAUUUGACUUCGGUUUCGAUAAGGGAUUCUUUGGUAUUUAUUCUUACAUUUCUAAUAGCCCUUUUUAGUUAAAUUAAUUUGGAUUAUCUAUAAUUUUGAUGCAUUGACUUAUGUUCUUGU